Molecule: transfer RNA, 64 nt
Filed under: Stegodyphus mimosarum
Lineage: Eukaryota; Metazoa; Arthropoda; Arachnida; Araneae; Eresidae
Rfam family: tRNA
About the family: Transfer RNA (tRNA) molecules are approximately 80 nucleotides in length. Their secondary structure includes four short double-helical elements and three loops (D, anti-codon, and T loops). Further hydrogen bonds mediate the characteristic L-shaped molecular structure. tRNAs have two regions of fundamental functional importance: the anti-codon, which is responsible for specific mRNA codon recognition, and the 3' end, to which the tRNAs corresponding amino acid is attached (by aminoacyl-tRNA synthetases). tRNAs cope with the degeneracy of the genetic code in two manners: having more than one tRNA (with a specific anti-codon) for a particular amino acid; and 'wobble' base-pairing, i.e. permitting non-standard base-pairing at the 3rd anti-codon position.
Source: Rfam by way of RNAcentral
GGCUAGCUCAGUCGGUAGAGCACCAGCCACUUCAAGAGCGUGGGUUCGAAUCCCACCGCUGCCA